This 672-nucleotide ribosomal RNA is filed under the name Salmonella enterica. RNAcentral's name for it is "partial 23S ribosomal RNA". It matches the Rfam family "Bacterial large subunit ribosomal RNA", at positions 329 to 905 of the family's 2925-position model. The record is from RNAcentral. Lineage: Bacteria; Pseudomonadati; Pseudomonadota; Gammaproteobacteria; Enterobacterales; Enterobacteriaceae.
UUAGUGGAAGCGUCUGGAAAGGCGCGCGAUACAGGGUGACAGCCCCGUACACAAAAGCGCAUGUGCUGUGAGCUCGAUGAGUAGGGCGGGACACGUGGUAUCCUGUCUGAAUAUGGGGGGACCAUCCUCCAAGGCUAAAUACUCCUGACUGACCGAUAGUGAACCAGUACCGUGAGGGAAAGGCGAAAAGAACCCCGGCGAGGGGAGUGAAAAAGAACCUGAAACCGUGUACGUACAAGCAGUGGGAGCCCCACCACUAAGCCAGUGGUGAACUCCACAUACGCAUCCUUUGCUGAGGAUACGGUUAACGGAGCGAAAGCGACGUUCAACCGCAAAAGAAGCAGAGGGGGCUUAGUGGUGGGGUGACUGCGUACCUUUUGUAUAAUGGGUCAGCGACUUAUAUUCUGUAGCAAGGUUAACCGUAUAGGGGAGCCGGAGGGAAACCGAGUCUUAAUUGGGCGUUAAGUUGCAGGGUAUAGACCCGAAACCCGGUGAUCUAGCCAUGGGCAGGUUGAAGGUUGGGUAACACUAACUGGAGGACCGAACCGACUAAUGUUGAAAAAUUAGCGGAUGACCUGUGGCUGGGGGUGAAAGGCCAAUCAAACCGGGAGAUAGCUGGUUCUCCCCGAAAGCUAUUUAGGUAGCGCCUCGUGAAUUCAUCUCCGGGGGUAG